RNAcentral lists this unclassified non-coding RNA (229 nucleotides) under plant metagenome. RNAcentral's name for it is "partial contains small subunit ribosomal RNA and internal transcribed spacer 1". The stretch from base 1 to 46 matches the Rfam family "Eukaryotic small subunit ribosomal RNA", at positions 1786 to 1831 of the family's 1831-position model. The record is from RNAcentral.
AAGUCGUAACAAGGUUUCCGUAGGUGAACCUGCGGAAGGAUCAUUAAAAGAGAUAGGGUCUCACGGCCCGACCUCCAACCCUUUGUUGUUUAAAAAAACCUGUUGCUUUGGCGGGACCGUUCGUCCUCGUGACGGACUGUCGGUCUUCGGCCCGGCAAGCGCCCGCCAGAGUCCAACCAAACUCUUGAUACAACCAGUCGUCUGAGAAUAAAGAUUUAAUCAAUUAAAA